This 1361-nucleotide ribosomal RNA is filed under the name uncultured bacterium. Its description in RNAcentral is "bacterial SSU rRNA". It matches the Rfam family "Bacterial small subunit ribosomal RNA", at positions 28 to 1381 of the family's 1533-position model. The record is from RNAcentral.
AUUGAACGCUGGCGGCAGGCCUAACACAUGCAAGUCGAGCGGUAGCACAGAGAGCUUGCUCUCGGGUGACGAGCGGCGGACGGGUGAGUAAUGUCUGGGAAACUGCCUGAUGGAGGGGGAUAACUACUGGAAACGGUAGCUAAUACCGCAUAACGUCGCAAGACCAAAGUGGGGGACCUUCGGGCCUCAUGCCAUCAGAUGUGCCCAGAUGGGAUUAGCUAGUAGGUGGGGUAACGGCUCACCUAGGCGACGAUCCCUAGCUGGUCUGAGAGGAUGACCAGCCUCACUGGAACUGAGACACGGUCCAGACUCCUACGGGAGGCAGCAGUGGGGAAUAUUGCACAAUGGGCGCAAGCCUGAUGCAGCCAUGCCGCGUGUGCGAAGAAGGCCUUCGGGUUGUAAAGCACUUUCAGCGGGGAGGAAGGCGUUAAGGUUAAUAACCUUGGCGAUUGACGUUACCCGCAGAAGAAGCACCGGCUAACUCCGUGCCAGCAGCCGCGGUAAUACGGAGGGUGCAAGCGUUAAUCGGAAUUACUGGGCGUAAAGCGCACGCAGGCGGUCUGUCAAGUCGGAUGUGAAAUCCCCGGGCUCAACCUGGGAACUGCAUUCGAAACUGGCAGGCUAGAGUCUUGUAGAGGGGGGUAGAAUUCCAGGUGUAGCGGUGAAAUGCGUAGAGAUCUGGAGGAAUACCGGUGACGAAGGCGGCCCCCUGGACAAAGACUGACGCUCAGGUGCGAAAGCGUGGGGAGCAAACAGGAUUAGAUACCCUGGUAGUCCACGCCGUAAACGAUGUCGAUUUGGAGGUUGUGCCCUUGAGGCGUGGCUUCCGGAGCUAACGCGUUAAAUCGACCGCCUGGGGAGUACGGCCGCAAGGUUAAAACUCAAAUGAAUUGACGGGGGCCCGCACAAGCGGUGGAGCAUGUGGUUUAAUUCGAUGCAACGCGAAGAACCUUACCUGGUCUUGACAUCCACAGAACUUUCCAGAGAUGGAUUGGUGCCUUCGGGAACUGUGAGACAGGUGCUGCAUGGCUGUCGUCAGCUCGUGUUGUGAAAUGUUGGGUUAAGUCCCGCAACGAGCGCAACCCUUAUCCUUUGUUGCCAGCGGUUAGGCCGGGAACUCAAAGGAGACUGCCAGUGAUAAACUGGAGGAAGGUGGGGAUGACGUCAAGUCAUCAUGGCCCUUACGACCAGGGCUACACACGUGCUACAAUGGCAUAUACAAAGAGAAGCGACCUCGCGAGAGCAAGCGGACCUCAUAAAGUAUGUCGUAGUCCGGAUUGGAGUCUGCAGCUCGACUCCAUGAAGUCGGAAUCGCUAGUAAUCGUAGAUCAGAAUGCUACGGUGAAUACGUUCCCGGGCCU